CGAUGCAAGUUUUUAGGAAUGAAAGUGCUUUCAGCUGGGAAGAAACAAAUGACGGUACCAACAGAAGAAGUGACGGCUAAAUACGUGCCAGCAGCCGCGGUAAUACGUAUGUCACGAGCGUUAUCCGGAUUUAUUGGGCGUAAAGCGAGUCUAGGUGGUUAUGUAAGUCUGAUGUGAAAAUGCAGGGCUCAACUCUGUAUUGCGUUGGAAACUGUAUAACUAGAGUACUGGAGAGGUAAGCGGAACUACAAGUGUAGAGGUGAAAUUUGUAGAUAUUUGUAGGAAUGCCGAUGGGGAAGCCAGCUUACUGGACAGAUACUGACGCUAAAGCGCGAAAGCGUGGGUCGCAAACAGG
RNAcentral lists this ribosomal RNA (355 nucleotides) under uncultured Fusobacterium sp. RNAcentral's name for it is "bacterial SSU rRNA". It matches the Rfam family "Bacterial small subunit ribosomal RNA", at positions 406 to 776 of the family's 1533-position model. Lineage: Bacteria; Fusobacteriati; Fusobacteriota; Fusobacteriia; Fusobacteriales; Fusobacteriaceae. The record is from RNAcentral.